AAAUUCAUUGUUUAUAUUUGCGAUAUAGCCUAACGUUGACUUGUUGAGUUUGCGUAAAUUAUUCUCAUAUCGAGUUGGCCAUGAAUUCAAUUUCCCAACUGAAUUUUCUAUUUAGUUUACAAAAAUUCCUACUUCCAACAGUCUUAAACACAUCUUCCAUCUAUACACAUUUCCGAAAUGGAAUAAAUACAAAGCUGCAGUUUAAUAAACAACAAACAAGAACGCAAUGGAGAGAAUUGGUGCAUUCAAAAUACAACUGAAAAAUAGUGAAAAAUAGAACCACACAAUCGAGAGAAAAAAAUAAUAAAAAAAGAGUAUACACAAAUUAGAUAUAAGCAUAAAGUGUAACCCAAAUAAAAAAUCAAAAA
Molecule: long non-coding RNA, 368 nt
Organism: Drosophila sulfurigaster albostrigata
Lineage: Eukaryota; Metazoa; Arthropoda; Insecta; Diptera; Drosophilidae
Exons: 2
Source: RefSeq, a predicted model, not a curated record